UACGAAGGGGGCGAGCGUUGUUCGGAAUUACUGGGCGUAAAGGGCGCGUAGGCGGCCCUCUUUGUCGCGUGUGAAAGCCCCGGGCUCAACCUUUGGACGCAUUGGAAACUGGGCAACUGGAGUGUAGGAGAGGAAAGUGGAAUUCCACGUGUAGCGGUGAAAUGCGUAGAGAUGUGGAGGAACACCAGUGGCGAAGGCGACUUUCUGGCCUAUAACUGACGCUGAGGCGCGAAAGCGUGGGGAGCAAACAGG
This 252-nucleotide ribosomal RNA is filed under the name uncultured bacterium. RNAcentral describes it as "partial 16S ribosomal RNA". It matches the Rfam family "Bacterial small subunit ribosomal RNA", at positions 524 to 776 of the family's 1533-position model. The record is from RNAcentral.